This 112-nucleotide ribosomal RNA is filed under the name Helianthus annuus (common sunflower). Lineage: Eukaryota; Viridiplantae; Streptophyta; Magnoliopsida; Asterales; Asteraceae. The record is from RNAcentral.
GUUUUGGUCUUAGUCGGCUGUGGAGCACAUGAAAACUCCACAGUUAAGUGUGCUCAGGUGGGAGUAGUACUAGGAUGGGUGACCUCCUAGGAAGUCUCCACCGAGGGAACCA